This 210-nucleotide long non-coding RNA is filed under the name Pan troglodytes (chimpanzee). RNAcentral's name for it is "long non-coding RNA NONPTRT008643". The record is from RNAcentral. Lineage: Eukaryota; Metazoa; Chordata; Mammalia; Primates; Hominidae.
UGGGAGGAGGGGGAGAUUCGUGGGAGGACCGAGCCCGGGGAUGGGACUGGAGGAGUUUCCGUGACCUUGCGGGCUGUUUGUGCUGAGGGACAGCUUUAUUUAAAUAAUAAUAUGCGUGCAGGCGCCCUGCAUGAUUCCUGGCCGCGUGCUUUCUAGUUAACUAGGUCACUGUUUGCUCUCAGGAGCAACCCUGCCUCCCGCAGUUCGCUU